ACGCCUUAUACAUGCAAGUCGAACGCAGUAGCAAUACUGAGUGGCAGACGGGUGAGUAUAAUGUGGGAAUCUGCCUUUUGGUUUGGAAUAACUCGGGGAAACUUGAGCUAAUACCGGAUAAGCCCUUACGGGGAAAGCUUUACGCGCCAAAAGAUGAGCCCGCACUUGAUUAGCUUGUUGGUGAGGUAAUGGCUCACCAAGGCAACGAUCAAUAGCUGUUCUUAGAGGAAGACCAGCCACAUUGGGACUGAGACACGGCCCAGACUCCUACGGGAGGCAGCAGUAAGGAAUCUUGCACAAUGGGGGAAACCCUGAUGCAGCGAUGCCGCGUGAGUGAAGAAGGCCUUUGGGUUGUAAAACUCUUUCGUCGGGGAAGAAAAUGACUGUACCCGAAUAAGAAGGUCCGGCUAACUUCGUGCCAGCAGCCGCGGUAAUACGAAGGGACCUAGCGUAGUUCGGAAUUACUGGGCUUAAAGAGCUCGUAGGUGGUUAAAAAAGUUGAUGGUGAAAUCCCAAGGCUCAACCUUGGAACUGCCAUCAAAACUCUUUAGCUAGAGUGUGAUAGAGGAAAGUGGAAUUUCUAGUGUAGAGGUGAAAUUCGUAGAUAUUAGAAAGAACACCAAAAGCGAAGGCAACUUUCUGGAUCAUUACUGACACUGAGGAGCGAAAGCAUGGGUAGCGAAGAGGAUUAGAUACCCUCGUAGUCCAUGCUGUAAACGAUGUGUGCUAGACGUUGGAAAUUUAUUUUUCAGUGUCGCAGCAAAAGCGUUAAGCACACCGCCUGGGGAGUACGACC
This 796-nucleotide ribosomal RNA is filed under the name uncultured Pelagibacteraceae bacterium. Its description in RNAcentral is "bacterial SSU rRNA". It matches the Rfam family "Bacterial small subunit ribosomal RNA", at positions 44 to 887 of the family's 1533-position model. Lineage: Bacteria; Pseudomonadati; Pseudomonadota; Alphaproteobacteria; Candidatus Pelagibacterales; Candidatus Pelagibacteraceae. The record is from RNAcentral.